This 204-nucleotide long non-coding RNA is filed under the name Helianthus annuus (common sunflower). RNAcentral's name for it is "hypothetical non coding rna". The record is from RNAcentral. Lineage: Eukaryota; Viridiplantae; Streptophyta; Magnoliopsida; Asterales; Asteraceae.
UUGCUUGGUAGUUGUUCAAGACUUCUAAGCACUCUCAAUCUCAAAGGUGUAUUUUUAUGCACUCAGGUGCUAUUAUGUGAUGAUUGUUGAUGCAUGGUAUACAUAGGAUGGACUCGUAUCUUAGCGACUUUAAAACUUGAAAUAUAAUAAUAUUAUUUGUCUGAUUUGUAAUAAAACAAUGAGUUCAAUAAUUUAAUAAAACGA